GACGAACGCUGGCGGCGUGCCUAAUACAUGCAAGUAGAACGCAGUUGCGAACGGGUGAGUAACGCGUAGGUAACUGCCUCAUAGCGGGGGAUAACUAUUGGAACCGAUAGCUAAUACCGCAUACUGUGAGAUGGACCUGCGUUUUAUUAGCUAGUUGGUGAGGUAAAUGCUCACCAAGGCGACGAUACAUAGCCGACCUUGGAGGGUGAACGGCCACACUGGGACUGAGACACGGCCCAGGCUCCUUCGGGCGGCAGCAGGAGGGAAUCUUGGGCAAUGGACGGAAGUCUGGCCGAGCAACGCCGCGUGAGGGAAGAAGGUUUUCGGAUCGGAAAGCUCUGUUGUGAGGGGAGCGGUAACUAACCAGAAAGGGACGGCUAACUACGUGCCAGCCGCCGCGGUAAUUC
RNAcentral lists this ribosomal RNA (407 nucleotides) under uncultured bacterium. Its description in RNAcentral is "partial 16S ribosomal RNA". It matches the Rfam family "Bacterial small subunit ribosomal RNA", at positions 28 to 526 of the family's 1533-position model. The record is from RNAcentral.